RNAcentral lists this ribosomal RNA (274 nucleotides) under uncultured bacterium. Its description in RNAcentral is "partial 16S ribosomal RNA". It matches the Rfam family "Bacterial small subunit ribosomal RNA", at positions 523 to 796 of the family's 1533-position model. The record is from RNAcentral.
AUACAGAGGGUGCGAGCGUUAAUCGGAAUUACUGGGCGUAAAGCGCGCGUAGGCGGCUUAUUAAGUCAGAUGUGAAAUCCCCGGGCUCAACCUGGGAACUGCAUCUGAUACUGGUAAGCUAGAGUUUGGGAGAGGGAAGUAGAAUUUCAGGUGUAGCGGUGAAAUGCAUAGAGAUCUGAAGGAAUACCAGUGGCGAAGGCGACUUCCUGGCCUAAAACUGACGCUGAGGUGCGAAAGCGUGGGUAGCAAACGGGAUUAGAAACCCUAGUAGUCC